CCUACGGGUGGCAGCAGUGGGGAAUAUUGCACAAUGGGGGAGACCCUGAUGCAGCGACGCCGCGUGAAGGAAGAAGUAUCUCGGUAUGUAAACUUCUAUCAGCAGGGAAGAAAAUGACGGUACCUGACUAAGAAGCUCCGUCUAACUACGUGCCAGCAGCCGCGGUAAUACGUAGGGGGCAAGCGUUAUCCGGAUUUACUGGGUGUAAAGGGAGCGUAGGCGGUUUAGCAAGUCAGAAGUGAAAGGCCGGGGCUCAACUCCGGGACUGCUUUUGAAACUGUUGAACUAGAGUGCAGGAGAGGUAAGUGGAAUUCGUAGUGUAGCGGUGAAAUGCGUAGAUAUUAGGAGGAACACCAGUGGCGAAGGCGGCUUACUGGACUGUAAAUGACGCUGAGGCUCGAAAGCGUGGGGAGCAAACAGGAUUAGAUACCCGAGUAGUC
RNAcentral lists this ribosomal RNA (440 nucleotides) under uncultured bacterium. RNAcentral describes it as "partial 16S ribosomal RNA". It matches the Rfam family "Bacterial small subunit ribosomal RNA", at positions 338 to 795 of the family's 1533-position model. The record is from RNAcentral.